CCUACGGGUGGCAGCAGUGGGGGAUAUUGCACAAUGGGGGAAACUCUGAUGCAGCAACGCCGCGUGAAGGAAGACGGUUUUCGGAUUGUAAACCUCUGUCUUCGGUGACGAAACGAGACGGUAGCCGAGGAGGAAGCCACGGCUAACUACGUGCCAGCAGCCGCGGUAAUACGUAGGUGGCAAGCGUUGUCCGGAAUUACUGGGGGUAAAGGGAGCGCAGGCGGGAAGGCAAGUUAGCUGUUUAAAGUACGGGGUUAACCUGUAAAAAGCGGUUAAAACUGGUUUUCUUGAGUGGAGUAGAGGGUAGCGGAAUUCCGAGUGUAGCGGUGAAAUGCGUAAAUAUUCGGAGGAACACCAGUGGCGAAGGCGGCCAACUGGGCUUUAACUGACGCUGAGGCUCGAAAGUGUGGGUAGCAAACAGGAUUAGAUACCCGUGUAGUC
This 441-nucleotide ribosomal RNA is filed under the name uncultured bacterium. Its description in RNAcentral is "partial 16S ribosomal RNA". It matches the Rfam family "Bacterial small subunit ribosomal RNA", at positions 338 to 795 of the family's 1533-position model. The record is from RNAcentral.